GCGGCCGUAGUCUAGCCUGGAAGGACUCGGCUGUACCGCCUGAAGCGGGCCUGCCACGCCCGUGACCCGGGUUCGAAUCCCGGCGGCCGCACCA
This 94-nucleotide transfer RNA is filed under the name Thermoprotei archaeon. RNAcentral's name for it is "tRNA-Gly". It matches the Rfam family "tRNA". Rfam says of the family: Transfer RNA (tRNA) molecules are approximately 80 nucleotides in length. Their secondary structure includes four short double-helical elements and three loops (D, anti-codon, and T loops). Further hydrogen bonds mediate the characteristic L-shaped molecular structure. tRNAs have two regions of fundamental functional importance: the anti-codon, which is responsible for specific mRNA codon recognition, and the 3' end, to which the tRNAs corresponding amino acid is attached (by aminoacyl-tRNA synthetases). tRNAs cope with the degeneracy of the genetic code in two manners: having more than one tRNA (with a specific anti-codon) for a particular amino acid; and 'wobble' base-pairing, i.e. permitting non-standard base-pairing at the 3rd anti-codon position. The record is from RNAcentral. Lineage: Archaea; Thermoproteati; Thermoproteota; Thermoprotei.